UGGACAAGUGCUAUGAAGGACGUUCCUGGAGAGAUAACAUCAAAUGGCCCUGGCGUCAUCAUCAUUGCCAUCGUAUGACACAGGGCCAGCAGAAAGACACCAAGAGGACUAAAGUCCUGCACUUUUUGAAAGGUGCAAAAACUGAGGAGGAAAGACAGUGAGUAAUGUGCCCAGGUGAAGCAGGAACUGGGGCAGCUGUUGUUUGAAACCAGGCAUUGUGGCUCCAGAUGCUGCCUCUCUGAACUACCAAAGAAGUCCAUGAUCCCGCUUUACAGUUCCAGAGCAUUGUGCUUUUAUCCUCUGUGCUGUGGCGGGAGGAGCAGAAGAUCCCCAGCUGCUCCAGAGUCUUUGGCUGCAGACACUGAGAGAAAAGGGGCAAUGUGAACAUGUGAUCUGUCUGAGCUGAG
Long non-coding RNA from Nycticebus coucang (slow loris), 407 nucleotides. RefSeq lists it as uncharacterized. The record is from RefSeq and is a predicted model, not a curated record. The transcript has 3 exons. Lineage: Eukaryota; Metazoa; Chordata; Mammalia; Primates; Lorisidae.